Molecule: ribosomal RNA, 484 nt
Filed under: uncultured bacterium
Lineage: Bacteria
Description: partial 16S ribosomal RNA
Rfam family: Bacterial small subunit ribosomal RNA
Source: RNAcentral
AUUGAACGCUGGCGGCAGGCCUAACACAUGCAAGUCGAGCGGAGGAAGGGAGCUUGCUCCUGGAUUCAGCGGCGGACGGGUGAGUAAUGCCUAGGAAUCUGCCUGGUAGUGGGGGAUAACGUCCGGAAACGGGCGCUAAUACCGCAUACGUCCUGAGGGAGAAAGUGGGGGAUCUUCGGACCUCACGCUAUCAGAUGAGCGUAGGGCGGAUUAGCUAGUUGGUGGGGUAAAGGCCUACCAAGGCGACGAUCCGUAACUGGUCUGAGAGGAUGAUCAGUCACACUGGAACUGAGGCACGGUCCAGACUCCUACGGGAGGCAGCAGUGGGGAAUAUUGUUCAAUGGGCGAAAGCCUGAUCCAGCCAUGCCGCGUGUGUGAAGAAGGUCUUCGGAUUGUUGAGCACUUUAAGUUGGGAUGAAGGGCAGUAAGUUAAUACCUUGCUGUUUUGACGUUACCAACAGAAUAAGCACCGGCUAACUUCGUG